Molecule: ribosomal RNA, 901 nt
Filed under: uncultured bacterium
Lineage: Bacteria
Description: bacterial SSU rRNA
Rfam family: Bacterial small subunit ribosomal RNA
Source: RNAcentral
AGAGUUUGAUCAUGGCUCAGGAUGAAUGUUGGCGGCGUGCCUGAGAUAUGCAAGUCGAACGACCCGUCGCAAGACGGGAGUGGCGGACGGCUGAGUAACACGUAGGAACCUACCCCCUUCUGGAGAAUAGCCUGCCGAAAGGCGGGAUAAUACUCCAUGAUCCCGGCCUAGCCGGGUAAAGAGCUUAACUGCUUGGAAAGGGAUGGGCCUGCGGCUUAUCACGGUAGUUGGUAGGGUAACUGCCUACCAAGCCUAUAACGAGUAGCUGGUCUUAGAGGAUGGACAGCCAGAGGGGGACUGACACACGGCCCCCACUCCUACGGGAGGCAGCAAUCAGGAAUAGUCGGCAAUGGGCGAAAGCCUGACCGCGCGACGCCGCGUGUAGGAAUAAAUUCUAACGAAUGUAAACUACUGUAGUAGGGGAAGAAGCCCCGACUUAGUCGGGGUUGACGGUACCUUACUAGAAAGGGGCCGCUAACUGCGUGCCAGAAGCGUCGGUAAUACGUGGGCCCCAAACAUUAUCCGGUUUUAUUGGGUGUAAAAAGUAGUGUAGGUGGUCUGAUAAGUCUUGUUUUAAAUUUUUUGGCUUAACCAGAAAAAAGGGCGAGAUACUAUCAGACUAGAGUUAUCUUUAGGGAGAUUGGAACUCAAGGAGGAGUAGUGAAAUGCGUUGAUACCUUGGGGAACACCAGUGGCGAAGGCGAAUCUCUGAAAGAUAACUGACACUAAGACACGAAAGCUAGGGUAGCGAAGCAGAUUAGAGACCUGCGUAGUCCUAGCCCUAAACGCAUGCUUGCUAGCCGCAUUUUUCCCCUUUGGGGAGAGGUGUAGCGAAGGUAACCCGUUAAGCAAGCUACCUGGGGAGUACGACCGCAAGGUUAAAACUCAAAGGAAUUGACGG